Molecule: microRNA precursor, 52 nt
Filed under: Marmota monax (woodchuck)
Lineage: Eukaryota; Metazoa; Chordata; Mammalia; Rodentia; Sciuridae
Source: RNAcentral
UGUUUAGUAUAAAUAUAUUCCAUGCAAUAUUUGUAACAUGUUGAUACUGAAA